This 492-nucleotide ribosomal RNA is filed under the name uncultured bacterium. Its description in RNAcentral is "partial 16S ribosomal RNA". It matches the Rfam family "Bacterial small subunit ribosomal RNA", at positions 29 to 507 of the family's 1533-position model. The record is from RNAcentral.
AGUGAACGCUGGCGGUAGGCCUAACACAUGCAAGUCGAACGGCAGCACAGUAAGAGCUUGCUCUUACGGGUGGCGAGUGGCGGACGGGUGAGGAAUACAUCGGAAUCUACUUUUUCGUGGGGGAUAACGUAGGGAAACUUACGCUAAUACCGCAUACGACCUACGGGUGAAAGCAGGGGAUCUUCGGACCUUGCGCGAUUGAAUGAGCCGAUGUCGGAUUAGCUAGGUGGCGGGGUAAAGGCCCACCAAGGCGACGAUCCGUAGCUGGUCUGAGAGGAUGAUCGGCCACACGGGAACUGGGACACGGUCCAGACUCCUACGAGAGGGAGCAGUGGGGAAUAGUGGACAAUGGGCGGAAGCCUGAUCCAGCCAUACCGCGUGGGUGAAGAAGGCCUUCGGGUUGUAAAGACCUUUUGUUGGGAAAGAAAAGCAGCAGGUUAAUACCCCGCUGUUCUGACGGUACCCAAAGAAUAAGCACCGGCUAACUUCGUG